AUGGGGGGAGUGAAGAUUUCGGGCUGUGGGGUGUCCACAUCAACCUCCCUGUGUCCCAGCUCCUGCAUUCCCAGUGGGAAUGAGGUGGGGGAAGCUGGGAGGGACAUUUUGCUGCAGUGGAGAUGGGAUGUCCCCGCUCAGGGGGGGACAUCGGGGCGUCCCCAGCACCUGGCUCAGCGUGGCUCUCCCUCCCUGGGGUGCUGCAGCCACCAAAAGCCACCAGCCCUGAGGGUCCUGGCCCUGGGGGUAUCAACCCCUCCCCUCCCGGCUCCUCCUUGUGCCCCCAUCGGCUCCAAAAUGUCCAAGAUGGGUUUAAAAUCCAGCCGGGAUUUACAGGAGCAGCCGCGCUCGGCCUGGAAGCGGCGGGGGGGGGGGGGGGGGGGGGGGGGGGGGGGGGGGGGGGGGGGGGGGGGGGGGGGGGGGGGGGGGGGGGGGGGGGGGGGGGGGGGGGGGGGGGGGGGGGGGGGGGGGGGGGAAGGAGGACGGGACUUGUUUAAUCCCGUCCCUGCGCCAGGGCUGGAGGCCCUGCCCGGCUCCUUCCAGCAGGGACGGAUCCCGCGAUCGCGACACCGCGGGGACACCGAGGGGACUCGCGGUAAAGCGGGGAGGGGGCGGGAGGGGAUGGCAGGAACGACCCGCGGGUUCGGGGGCCGGAUCGCGCCCCAUUCCCGAUCCUGCGGGAUGCUGAGGCCGGGGCCGGGGAUCCUGGGGGAAGUUCCCUUUGCCUUUAAAUGCAAAUCCCGGGCUGAGCGGACCGUGUCCGCCGGGAUCGGGGUGUCCGCCGGGAUCGGGGUGUCCGGUGGGAUCGGGGUGUCCGCCGGGUCCCGGAGGCCGGAGCGGGCCUGGCUCAGGUCAGUCCCGGCCGUGGCUCUCCGGACAGCGGCCGGAGGCUGCGGACAAAGGGACAAAGGGGACAAAGGGGCUCCGCAGCCCCCGGAGCUGCCCCGUCCCGGCGCCGCGCGGGGCCCGGGGGGGCUCGGCGGGACAAAGGGGUGGGUGACGGUCCCCACGCGGUCCCGCUCUCGCCGGGGUGAUUCGGGGCCGAAAUCCUCUUUCCCAUCGAGAGACGGGGCCGGGCCGGAGCUGCGGGGGGGGGGGGGGGGGGGGGGGGGGGGGGGGGGGGGGGGGGGGGGGGGGGGGGGGGGGGGGGGGGGGGGGGGGGGGGGGGGGGGGGGGGGG
This is a long non-coding RNA of Ficedula albicollis (Collared flycatcher), 1179 nucleotides long. The record is from Ensembl. Lineage: Eukaryota; Metazoa; Chordata; Aves; Passeriformes; Muscicapidae.